CAAGGGAAGGUGAAGGGAGAGAGGAAAGGUGGAAAAGAUAGAAAUAAAACAAGAACCGGGAGAGGAAGAACAAGGGAGAGGUAAAGAGGGGGGACGGGAGGGAGAGGUGGAAAGAGAGAAAAAAAAAAAGGUGAAUUGAAAGCUGAGGACUGGAAGAGGAGAGAAUAAUGAAAAGAAAGAAAGAUAAGAGUGAAGGAAGGAGGAGGAAGGAGGUGGAGAGAAAGAGAGAAAAAGGUUUGGGUAGGGAGAAAAGCUAAUGGAGAGAUAAAAAAAUCGGAAAAUAAAAGCAACGUGAAAGAAAAAGAAAAUAUGAACAGGAAGAAGAAAGAAACAUGAAUGGAAGAAGGAGAAGAGAAAGAGAGGAAAAGGUCUGGGUAGGGAGAGAAGUGAAUGGAGAGAUAAAAAUACAGGAAAAUAAAUGCAAAGUAAAAGAGAAGGAGAACAUGGAUAGGAAGAAGAAAGAAACAUGAAUGGAAGAAGGAGAAGAGAAAGAAAGGAAAAGGUCUGGGUAGGGAGAGAAGUGAAUGGAGAGAUAAAAAGACAGGAAAAUAAAUGCAGAGUGAAAGAGAAUGAGAAUAUGGAUAGGAAGAAGAAAGAAACAUGAAUGGAAGAAGGGGAUGAGAAAGAGAGGAAAAGGUCUGGGUAGGGAGAGAAGUGAAUGGAGAGAUAAAAAGACAGGAAAAUAAAUGCAGAGUGAAAGAGAAUGAGAAUAUGCUUCCUCCCUCGAUCCCUCGCCUCACCUGUUAAUCACCCCGCCAUGCGUCUCCGCGUCAAAACAGUCAAGGUGAAAAUAUUACUGAGCCGCACUUGGGACACCUGAGACGCGGCGCCGCAGGUAACCUCAUUAUCUGUCACCUUAAUGAGCGCCAGGUGGAGGUGACGCCAAUUUAGGAGAUAAUCUGAAUGGGGAGGAGGAGGAGGAGGAGGAGGAGGAAGAAUUUUAAGAUCAAAGCGUGAGAAACUGUUCAAGCUGAGAGGAAUUAAGAUCGUGACCUUUUUUUUUUAGUUGGUAGAAGUGGAGCAAAAAAAAAAGGGAGAGAGAGAGAGAGAGAGAGAGAGAGAGAGAGAGAGAGAGAGAGAGAGA
Eriocheir sinensis (Chinese mitten crab) is the source of this 1084-nucleotide long non-coding RNA. RefSeq lists it as uncharacterized. The record is from RefSeq and is a predicted model, not a curated record. Lineage: Eukaryota; Metazoa; Arthropoda; Malacostraca; Decapoda; Varunidae. The transcript is spliced from 2 exons.